Lactuca sativa (garden lettuce) is the source of this 1395-nucleotide long non-coding RNA. RefSeq lists it as uncharacterized. NCBI's taxonomy places the organism in Eukaryota, Viridiplantae, Streptophyta, Magnoliopsida, Asterales, Asteraceae. The record is from RefSeq and is a predicted model, not a curated record.
GCACAGAAACAGAGUAAUAAACCCUAGUUGUUUUCACUCCUUUAAUUUCAAUGUUAAUUCCAAAAAGCUGCAAUUGCUGGUGAUGGCAAUAUGGUUGCUCCGUUGCUCCUCUCGGCUGCUUUCCCCUUUUGUUGUCGGCUGUGGAGGUGGGUAGCACACGAAGUGAACGCAGGGUGUUUGGGCUAUUUGAUCGACGGGAAAGAAAAUGAAGGAGGAAAGGAGUUGCAGAGGUUAGGGCAGCCACCAAUUCCUCUUCCCUUGCUGGUGGUAUCCAAGAACGAGAGAGAGAGAGAGAGAGAGAGAGAGAGAGGUGGGUCCUCUAUUAUUUUUUUAAUUGUUAAAAUAAAUAAAUAAAUAUUAAGUUUAAAAAAAUGAAAGAAAAAUGAAAAAUACAUACCCCAAGGGUAUUAUAGUCAUUUCAAUUUUCGGAGGGACCAUUUUCACAUACAAACCACUCCAAAAGAACUACGAAACCAAAAAAGUCACUGUUUGAACUAAAACCCCAAAAUUUUGCAUACCACAGGACCAUUUUUGCAAUUUUGACUAGAUUAAAUAAUUUCUCCGUUUUAGACGCUUCGUUCUCCUACCCUUCCGUUUAAAUCAAAACCCUAAUAACAUUUCUAACCCUCACGCUCCCACAGUACCCACAAUCUUUUGCCUUCGCGGCUUUGCUGCCGGGUCCUCAACAAUAACCACUACCUAAAAAACCACCACCAUCCAGCUAACUCCGCCGCCAAGCCUGCCACUGUCGAGGCGACCCAUAUUGCUAAUCCCUCUAUCAUGGCCAAUGACGAAGUCAUGGGUGCUAAAACGAAAUUUAAUCCAGCCACUCAAGUAGAAAAAGAGUUUUGGUGAAUGAACGUUUGCAAAUGGUGUUGUAAGUUAUUCUUUACUGGAUUUAGUUCUUUAACGUUCUAAAUGUUGCGGAGCCAGUUUUUAUUUGUCAAAUUAGAAGUCUAAAUAUUAGUGGCUAAAAUGAUUUAAACUUUUAAUGUUUGUUUCAAUCUUUAUGUUAUUGGGUUUUCAUCCUUUUUAAACUUUUGUUGUUUACUGAGUUUUGUCUUAAUUUUAGAUGUAAAUUUGUAUAGGUCCAAAUGGUCCCAUGUUGAAAAUAAGUUGUUAUGUAGAUCAGUUGUUCAAAAAAAUGUUGAUCGGUUGUUUUGAGUGAGGGCAAAUUUGAUGAGAUAUGUGAAGUUGGACGAUUUUGCCCUUGAUGUUUUUUUUUGAAAAAACAGGCAUGAAUCAUGAGAUAAAGUUAUGCUUUUGUUUGAUAAAGAUGUUACGGUUGUUUGUUUUUUUUGGUUUGUAUUUAUUUGUUUUGUUCAAGUUUUGUUGGUAGUUAUUUAAAUCUCAUUGUAAAUUUGAAAAACGAAAUCAAGAAUUGGUAGUUGUUAA